GACGAACGCUGGCGGCGUGCCUAAUACAUGCAAGUUGAGCGCUGAAGGUUGGUACUUGUACCGACUGGAUGAGCAGCGAACGGGUGAGUAACGCGUGGGGAAUCUGCCUUUGAGCGGGGGACAACAUUUGGAAACGAAUGCUAAUACCGCAUAAAAACUUUAAACACAAGUUUUAAGUUUGAAAGAUGCAAUUGCAUCACUCAAAGAUGAUCCCGCGUUGUAUUAGCUAGUUGGUGAGGUAAAGGCCCACCAAGGCGAUGAUACAUAGCCGACCUGAGAGGGUGAUCGGCCACAUUGGGACUGAGACACGGCCCAAACUCCUACGGGAGGCAGCAGUAGGGAAUCUUCGGCAAUGGACGAAAGUCUGACCGAGCAACGCCGCGUGAGUGAAGAAGGUUGUCGGAUCGUAAAACUCUGUUGGUAGAGAAGAACGUUGGUGAGAGUGGAAAGCUCAUCAAGUGACGGUAACUACCCAGAAAGGGACGGCUAACUACGUG
RNAcentral lists this ribosomal RNA (497 nucleotides) under uncultured bacterium. RNAcentral's name for it is "partial 16S ribosomal RNA". It matches the Rfam family "Bacterial small subunit ribosomal RNA", at positions 28 to 507 of the family's 1533-position model. The record is from RNAcentral.